RNAcentral lists this long non-coding RNA (678 nucleotides) under Brassica napus (rape). RNAcentral's name for it is "long non-coding RNA (BNAP_LNC020417)". Lineage: Eukaryota; Viridiplantae; Streptophyta; Magnoliopsida; Brassicales; Brassicaceae. The record is from RNAcentral.
UGUUGAAUGUUUAGAAGACCUACAUAACUAGAAGACUGACUAUAUGGAUACCUUGGAUCCAUAUUAGCAAGAGCAGAGAAGUGAUUUAUAGAAGAGAAAGCUGAGGAAAGACUUUACUUAGCAAAGAAGAGAGAAAGAAGAUGAUGGAAAUUAUAUGAAAGAUGGUUGGGGUUUAAUAGCCGAAACUUGUAAGAGUAAUAACUUCGAAAUAAUAAUGACUAACCAAUAGCUACCAAGGUCUUAUCAGAAGCUAUUACACAUUACACAACUAAAACCAUUCAAGUAUACUUAUCACACAUUUUUGGCUUGGUUUCAAACAGACUACACUUCCAUCAAAUACCAUCCGUCUAACUAACCCAACACUCAAGUUAAUAAUCACCAUCAAAUACCAUCAGAAAUAAUAAUGACAAACCAAACACAAAUAGGAACACUUGUUAUAAUGAAUCGGAAUUUUUUUUUUUUUGGCAUUCAACUGAAACCACAACACUUGUUCUACAAACCAACAACAAAUUACUCAAUUAAGCAUAAACCAAAGGAUGAUUCAAGUAACACAACCAGAAGAGUCAGAUUGAAAUAAUUAUGAAUCGCAAUUUUUUUUUUAGGGCAUUCAACACAAACAGCAACACUUGUUAUACAAACAACUAUAUAUUACUCAACUAAGCAUAAAAGAACUGUCCA